This 733-nucleotide unclassified non-coding RNA is filed under the name Hevea brasiliensis (rubber tree). The record is from RNAcentral. Lineage: Eukaryota; Viridiplantae; Streptophyta; Magnoliopsida; Malpighiales; Euphorbiaceae.
GGUAUGAAAAUGGGAAACUGUUGAAAAAGAAAAAUACUUUUACAGAUUUCAUUGCUUGUGCAGAAUAUUUAAUAGACAAGAAGUACUGUUCCAAGGAAAAGCUUUGUAUCAACGGAAGAAGUGCAGGUGGAUUGCUGAUCGGUGCUGUUAUUAACAUGCGUCCUAAUUUGUUCAAAGCCGCUGUUGCUGGGGUUCCUUUUGUAGAUGUUGUAACUACAAUGCUUGAUCCAACUAUUCCUUUAACAACUUCAGAGUGGGAGGAAUGGGGUGAUCCACGUCAGGAAGAAUUCUAUUCCUACAUGAAGUCGUAUUCCCCUGUUGAUAAUGUCAAAGCACAGAAUUAUCCAGACAUUCUUGUUACAGCUGGCUUGAAUGAUCCACGUGUUAUGUACUCUGAGCCUGCAAAGUUUGUGGCCAAGUUGAGAGAAAUGAAGACGAAUGAUAAUUUACUCUUGUUCAAAUGUGAAAUGGGUGCAGGACAUUUUUCAAAAUCUGGAAGAUUUGAGAAGCUCCAGGAGGAUGCCUUCACCUACACUUUCAUACUCAAAGCUCUCAACAUGCUAGGCUCUGAGCAACAAUGAUAAAAUCAUGUUGAUAUAUUCCAAUUUUCUCAACAAUUCUUAACAUGAACUAUUGUCUUAUUUAUGGUUCAAAACCUGAUCUUUGUACUCAUUUUAUUGACUUUGAUUGGCUUCUACUAUUUUGUUGAACACACGCUUUUAUUGAUCAGUUU